This 71-nucleotide transfer RNA is filed under the name Macleaya cordata. It matches the Rfam family "tRNA". From Rfam's summary of the family: Transfer RNA (tRNA) molecules are approximately 80 nucleotides in length. Their secondary structure includes four short double-helical elements and three loops (D, anti-codon, and T loops). Further hydrogen bonds mediate the characteristic L-shaped molecular structure. tRNAs have two regions of fundamental functional importance: the anti-codon, which is responsible for specific mRNA codon recognition, and the 3' end, to which the tRNAs corresponding amino acid is attached (by aminoacyl-tRNA synthetases). tRNAs cope with the degeneracy of the genetic code in two manners: having more than one tRNA (with a specific anti-codon) for a particular amino acid; and 'wobble' base-pairing, i.e. permitting non-standard base-pairing at the 3rd anti-codon position. The record is from Rfam by way of RNAcentral. Lineage: Eukaryota; Viridiplantae; Streptophyta; Magnoliopsida; Ranunculales; Papaveraceae.
GCCCCUAUAGCUCAGUGGAUAAAGCGUGUUUCCUAAGCAGAAAGUCGUAGGUUCGAUCCCUACUUGGCGCG